RNAcentral lists this ribosomal RNA (253 nucleotides) under uncultured bacterium. Its description in RNAcentral is "partial 16S ribosomal RNA". It matches the Rfam family "Bacterial small subunit ribosomal RNA", at positions 524 to 776 of the family's 1533-position model. The record is from RNAcentral.
UACGAAGGGGGCUAGCGUUGUUCGGAAUUACUGGGCGUAAAGCGUGCGCAGGCGGUGAUGCAAGACAGAUGUGAAAUCCCCGGGCUUAACCUGGGAACUGCAUUUGUGACUGCAUGGCUGGAGUGCGGCAGAGGGGGAUGGAAUUCCGCGUGUAGCAGUGAAAUGCGUAGAUAUGCGGAGGAACACCGAUGGCGAAGGCAAUCCCCUGGGCCUGCACUGACGCUCAUGCACGAAAGCGUGGGGAGCAAACAGG